AGUGGGAUAGCUGGGUCAAAUGGUGGUUCUAUUCUGAGUUUUUCUAAGGAAUCUCCAUACUGCUUUCAGUAGUGGUUACACCAAUUUGCAGUCCCAUCAGCAAU
Molecule: microRNA precursor, 104 nt
Filed under: Marmota monax (woodchuck)
Lineage: Eukaryota; Metazoa; Chordata; Mammalia; Rodentia; Sciuridae
Source: RNAcentral